Molecule: long non-coding RNA, 206 nt
Filed under: Elaeis guineensis (African oil palm)
Lineage: Eukaryota; Viridiplantae; Streptophyta; Magnoliopsida; Arecales; Arecaceae
Description: long non-coding RNA (EGUI_LNC023020)
Source: RNAcentral
AUUGAUGUGGAACUAAUGCUGCAUGAGGCAGAAAGUGAGAUAAGGAGGUAGUAGCAAAUGGUGGUGAUGAUCAUGACACUGAUAAGAUCGAGCACAAGCGAGAUUUUUGGUCUCCUCGAUCAUAGUGGGCAUUGUGUUGAACUUGACUAACGUAAAGAAAAGGAUGGUAGAGGCGGAGAAAAGGCUACAAGUGCUGAAAGGGGUGA